RNAcentral lists this ribosomal RNA (473 nucleotides) under uncultured bacterium. Its description in RNAcentral is "bacterial SSU rRNA". It matches the Rfam family "Bacterial small subunit ribosomal RNA", at positions 355 to 825 of the family's 1533-position model. The record is from RNAcentral.
UGGGGAAUUUUGGACAAUGGGCGAAAGCCUGAUCCAGCAAUGCCGCGUGCAGGAAGAAGGCCUUCGGGUUGUAAACUGCUUUUGUACGGAACGAAAAGGCUCUUUCUAAUAAAGAGGGCCCAUGACGGUACCGUAAGAAUAAGCACCGGCUAACUACGUGCCAGCAGCCGCGGUAAUACGUAGGGUGCGAGCGUUAAUCGGAAUUACUGGGCGUAAAGCGUGCGCAGGCGGUUCUAUAAGACAGAUGUGAAAUCCCCGGGCUCAACCUGGGAAUGGCAUUUGUGACUGUAGAGCUAGAGUACGGUAGAGGGGGAUGGAAUUCCGCGUGUAGCAGUGAAAUGCGUAGAUAUGCGGAGGAACACCGAUGGCGAAGGCAAUCCCCUGGGCCUGCACUGACGCUCAUGCACGAAAGCGUGGGGAGCAAACAGGAUUAGAUACCCCCGGUAGUCCCUGAGCGGGCUGGCAAGGCGCAU